AUGCUUCUACUUUCCAUAUGGAGCUGGGAGCGUCUUCAUGUUGGAUGCCUAAAGAGCGUCAAGUUUAAUCCUUGGGAUGAACAUGGCGAAUUACGGCGCCCCACUUGGGCUUACAAGUGGGAUGUGGUAUCUGAGAUGACGAACAAUGUCAAUCUCAUGUACCAAAAGUACAUUGCCGAGUUGGACACGAUUAAGCCUGAGCAGGUAAGAGGACAUUACUUCAGUCAUUUCUCAUGCUUGCCUAAAAAAUAG
RNAcentral lists this ribosomal RNA (252 nucleotides) under Triticum aestivum (bread wheat). Its description in RNAcentral is "partial small subunit ribosomal RNA". Lineage: Eukaryota; Viridiplantae; Streptophyta; Magnoliopsida; Poales; Poaceae. The record is from RNAcentral.